CCUCCUUUCUCCCGCAUUUGAGGCGACUUUGGCUUUGACCUUGAGGCGCCCCUCUGUGCUCACCCUGGAGGCCCUCACACCUUUGACCUUGAGACACCUCUUCCAUCAGAGCCUGAGUGGCCUCCCCACUCGGACACUGGGCUACUGCUGGUGGUAGCGUUCAGCUCUUGGAAGCAACCUGAAGGAGAAAGACAGAUGUCUGCUCAUGUCCCAGCCCCUCACACGCACACCCCUAAACUGGAACCAGGAAGCCCAGGGAGUCCCCAGCAGCCUCCUGUGUGUCUGCUUGUCAGGGUUGCCUGCCAACAGCUGACCCCAUCUUCCUCACCCUCCCAGCCAAGGACCACCUUGGAGGAACCUACACACCGUCUUCCUCAAAACUGCCAGAGGCAGCCCAGGAGCAGGAAGGGACGGCCUGCCAGGGUUACCAGUCCCUCUUAAGGACACCCCUACUUUGUUCUUGUGGCAAAGACACGAAGUCCUGUCCAGCCCCACAAUAGGCGCCUGACUUUUCUAUUAUUAAGGAUAAUCCUCUUUAGCUCUUUCUUGGUUUCUGGAAGGCAAAAUCAAAUGAAAUUCAAGAAGUGGAAUUUUAGGCCAGAGGCUAGUCUAAAAACUGCAAGUCUUUAUAAUUAACAAAAGGAAUCUAAAAAAAGAGAUGAAAUGUCGCUGCUCCUUUGCAGCUGUGGAGGAAGGAGCAUCAUUUUGCAUUCAUAAAACCACUUAAAAGAACCUGAUUUCAUAAGGUCUUAAAUUGAGAACUCUCACAAGAAAUGCCAUCUUUAUGCAACAUGAAUGUGUGAAUAUUCAUAACAGUAACCAAAUGGGAAUGUUCUCUGUGAAAACAAAUCUGUCUUUGGAAGAGUUUUGAACAAAGACAUCUGGUACGAGUCCCAAGCCUUCAGAAAUUAUUGCCAUGAACUGUGAAAAUAGCCUCCAACCCUGUCCCUCUGUAAUUCUGAUCUGUUGUCUUACUGGAUCAUUUAUUUCACUGGUUAUAAUGAUGUAAUAGAUAUCUUCCGCCGAUGUAGUCCCAAGAGAUAAUAUACUUGUAAAAUUUCUGUCAAUCAGAAAAUAAUCAUUUGUACUUUCCUUCUUUUGCCCAUACACAAUGUCACAAUUGAAAAGCUUGUGACUUUGCUAGGCUUAUUAUUUAACCAAUCAUUUGAGAGCCUGUUUCAUUUAAAUGAACAGACCCAGGGCUCACAGCAUCCAUCCUGAUGAAUUCUAAUCACCUGCUUAUUGUCACACUCUCUCACUAGGCUGCGAUCUCCUCAGAGAUGAGGACAAGUGACUAGCCAAGUCUCUUUUGUCCCCUGUAUUUCCCCAGUGCCUGGCAUGAGGGUGGCAGCUUGGAGCUGCCAUUCCGUUCCGUCCCCGCUGGAGGACAGGGAGGACAGACAGCCAUUCCCAGCACUCUCUCCUUUGAGCCCCAGCUUAGCUUCAGGAUCCUCCUGGACACAGUGCCUGAGAUGGCUGGCACCAAUCAGGUGGAGUUGGCAUAGAAAAGAAAACCUGGGGCUUCCCAGGUGGCUCAGUGGUAAAGAAUCCUCCUGCCAAGGCAGGAGACGCGGGUUCAAUCCCUGAACUGGGAAGAUUGCACAGGCGGUGGAGCAACCAAGCCUGUGAGCCACCACUAUUGAGCCUGUGCUCUAGGGCCUGGGAGCAGCAAGUACGGAGCCCAAGGGCCGCAACCACUGAAGCCUGUGUUCUGAAACAAGAGAAGCCUCUGCAAUGAGAAGCCUGAACCACAGCUGAGAGUAACCUCUUACUGCAACUAGAGAAAAGCCUGUGCAGCAAUGAAGACCCAGCACAGCCAAACAUA
Molecule: long non-coding RNA, 1825 nt
Organism: Bubalus bubalis (water buffalo)
Lineage: Eukaryota; Metazoa; Chordata; Mammalia; Artiodactyla; Bovidae
Exons: 3
Source: RefSeq, a predicted model, not a curated record